UUUCCUCUCUCUUCUCUCUCUUAUUUUAUGUUUGUUUCUUUCAUUGAGGACAAUGCAUAUUUUAAGUGUGGGGGAGGGAAUACUUUAUUUUCUUGGUUUUUGUUCUUUGUUUUGUUUUGUUUUUGUUUUCUUUCUAAAAAAAUGCAUUUUUGUUGAAAGUUUUAGGCUAUAGAAUAAUUUGAGGUUGGUUUGUAGAGACUUGGGAAAAGUUCACAAGAUCGGUAUCAUUUUAACACCUUA
This 240-nucleotide long non-coding RNA is filed under the name Lathyrus oleraceus (garden pea). RNAcentral's name for it is "Pisum sativum (pea) long non-coding RNA (PSAT_LNC032282)". The record is from RNAcentral. Lineage: Eukaryota; Viridiplantae; Streptophyta; Magnoliopsida; Fabales; Fabaceae.